GAAUGGAUUGAAAAAAUGCAUACUUAAUGAUUCUACAAAAUAUUGUGAUUACAGGUCAAAUUGUUGUUUAAUCCGUAGUCAGUGGGAGAAGUUGACUGUUAAGGUGUUUGAGAUAAAGGUGAGGAGAGGCCCUCGUCAUUGUCCGGAUAUAUAGUAGUUUGUAGUAUCAGCUAAAUAGAAUGUAAAAAUAUGAUAAACUGUAUUUAGUUUCGCAUGUCCGAAAAGAAUAUAUAAAAUUGUCAAAAAGUACAUAAAAAAA
Belonocnema kinseyi is the source of this 259-nucleotide long non-coding RNA. RefSeq lists it as uncharacterized. The transcript is spliced from 2 exons. The record is from RefSeq and is a predicted model, not a curated record. NCBI's taxonomy places the organism in Eukaryota, Metazoa, Arthropoda, Insecta, Hymenoptera, Cynipidae.